Molecule: ribosomal RNA, 414 nt
Filed under: uncultured bacterium
Lineage: Bacteria
Description: bacterial SSU rRNA
Rfam family: Bacterial small subunit ribosomal RNA
Source: RNAcentral
UCGAGGAUCUUCGUCAAUGGGCGCAAGCCUGAACGAGCGACGCCGCGUGUGCGAUGAAGGCCUUCGGGUUGUAAAGCACUGUCGAGGGGGAUCAAGGCCCGCAAGGGCUUGAUUGAUCCCUGGAGGAAGCACGGGCUAAGUUCGUGCCAGCAGCCGCGGUAAGACGAACCGUGCGAACGUUGUUCGGAAUCACUGGGCUUAAAGGGCGCGUAGGCGGCAGGCGAGGUCGGGGGUGAAAUCCCGCAGCUUAACUGCGGAAGGGCCUCCGAUACCGGCUUGCUGGAGGAGGGUAGGGGUGCGCGGAACUUCUGGUGGAGCGGUGAAAUGCGUUGAUAUCAGAAGGAACGCCGGCGGCGAAAGCGGCGCACUGGACCCUUUCUGACGCUGAGGCGCGAAAGCCAGGGGAGCAAACGG